Molecule: ribosomal RNA, 253 nt
Filed under: uncultured bacterium
Lineage: Bacteria
Description: partial 16S ribosomal RNA
Rfam family: Bacterial small subunit ribosomal RNA
Source: RNAcentral
AACGUAGGAGGCAAGCGUUAUCCGGAAUUACUGGGCGUAAAGGGCGUCUAGGCGGUAAGGCAAGCGCGAUGUGAAAGCUCCUGGCUCAACUGGGUGAGUGCGUGGCGAACUGCUUAACUAGAGGCCAGGCGAUGGGGGUGGAAUUCCCGGUGGAGUGGUGAAAUGCGUAGAGAUCGGGAGGAACAUCUGUGGCGAAGGCGACUGCCUGGACCAGCACUGACACUGAGACACGAAAGCGUGGGGAGCAAACAGG